CGCCGCGGUGCCCGCCCCUCAGGCCGGCGGCUCCGCUCGGGUCAGGGCUGUUCCUGACGCACUCCCGGCGCCGGAAGCCUCGGGCUCCCGAAUGAGGCUGUGGCCACUUGAAAGCCCCAGCGACGGAGCGGAGACGAGCCGCAGAGACCACCCACCACUUCCUGGGGCCGAGGGGCACCAGGCCAGGGCGGGAAGGAACUUGCCAGAAGGCACGUAGCGUUUGGAGCUCCGCCGGAGCUGCCGCUCGGGCGCUCCCGGACGUGUUAGCAGAGCUCAGGUUUGAGCAGAGCUCAUAGAAAUUUCAGGCUGGAAGGACCCUUCAGGAAUCUUUUGCUGCUAGCAUGCACUGCUCCAGACACUGCUCUGUGACAACCUGGGAUGCCUUCAGUUACUUUGAAGGUGUUAUCAAAUUCUCAAAACAGCGCUGGCCGGUUCGGUUCAGGGUGCGUGCUAGAGGCAACCAAUGACACAUUGAUGUUUUUCUCUCUGCCUCUCUCCCUCCCUUCCAUUCUCAAAAAUAAAAAAUCAGUGAAAGACUAUCGUUGAUGAGGAUUAAAAAAGAAAUAAUUCCAGUUCAUUUUAAUUAUGAAAAUAAAUACAUAUAUACCCAGAUUUUGAAGAAAGGGAGGGAGCCAAGGAAUGCAAACACCAAAGCACCAUUGAGUGUCACAGAGAUAGGGUAUAGGGAGAUUAGGAUUUAUAAGGAAGCCUGCAGGCAUCCCCUCUGCCCGUUGGGUCCCCCAGACCAGUCUUCGUCCUGUUCUUCAUCUGUACACCCCAAAUUGCUUCUUCCUAGAAUGCUCUUUUCCUAAGCCCAACCUCUCGUCUCAUGAUCAAUGAAAUUUACUUUAAAAAAAGAGAGAGAAGGAUCUUCAAUUAUUUACAUUUUGUUUCCAAACUAUUUCAGCUGUUUUUAUAAUACGUCCAACUGAAGUCAGAGAGGGAAAUAAUUCCAUUCCCCAAAAUACCAGACGACACCUUGGUGGGUUUUUUGGGGACAAUGCUCUAGUAUGACAUAAAAAGGUUACACAGUCA
Molecule: long non-coding RNA, 1035 nt
Organism: Pipistrellus kuhlii (Kuhl's pipistrelle)
Lineage: Eukaryota; Metazoa; Chordata; Mammalia; Chiroptera; Vespertilionidae
Exons: 2
Source: RefSeq, a predicted model, not a curated record